This 68-nucleotide microRNA precursor is filed under the name Bombyx mori (domestic silkworm). RNAcentral describes it as "mir-2774 microRNA precursor family". It matches the Rfam family "mir-2774 microRNA precursor family". Lineage: Eukaryota; Metazoa; Arthropoda; Insecta; Lepidoptera; Bombycidae. The record is from Rfam by way of RNAcentral.
AAAACAUUCAUGACCCUCGGUCUUCCGAGCAAUAUCACCCGCUUGGUGGAAGAUCUUCCCUUUGUUGU